UGAUGGGAAGAGGAAUUUUAUUCAGAAAAUUGACUAAAAUUUGUUUUUACAAAAUAAUGAAUCAUGCAAACUCAUUACAUAGCAGUCUCAAGCCUUUUUCCAAUAGAAUUUGGAAUCUGAACAUGUGUCCAGUAGAGAAUAAAAGUCCAUGAAAUUCUAAUCAAACUGAAUCAAACUUUGCAUGAUGCAAAGUUUAUGACUCCCAAAUUAUAAAAUACUUAUAAAGCAAUUACAAAAUAUUAUCAUACUAAUUCAGAAAAUCUCUAAGAAAUCAUUCAGGCAAGUAGCUUGAGUUCCAAGUUCCUCCGUUAAGCUUUUCUAACUUUUCUCUUUAUUAGAGUUAAUUAUAGCAUAAAACUUUCUACUACAUUAGCACACAGAAAAAUGUCAUGCAAGAGUUUCUUCUCCAGGCUGCCUGCAACAGUAGAACCUAAUCUUAAGCUUUCCAAACAAUGCAGACAUUCGCCCGACAACAAAGAGAAAUAAAAAUUAAAAAGGAAAAACAGCCAUUGUAAGAGAAGAGAAAAAUCCAGGAAAGUCAGUCCCAAGGUUCGACCAGUGAAACGGAAAUAAAAUGUGUUGCUGGUAUAUAUGGUUUUAGAGUAUGUAAAAUGUCAAAGGAAGAAAUUGCCAUUCUCUGCCAUCUUCCUCUGUUGGAAAAGUCACCUGCAAUAUUCAACUGCAAAAUGCAGUCAGAUUUAAAAAGCCUUAAUACUGUAAACUCUGGCAGGCAGGCAGCACUUACUGCUAGGCAUCGUCAAAAUUGAUUACCUUUAAUGAGAAAUAGGCAGCUUUUUCCAAAAUAAAAUCAAACCUUCUGCCUCCCUAAAACUGACAGCUUCCAUCUUUCCUAACCCUGAGAUAAGAUGGAGAUUGCUGAGAGGCAACUUCCCAAUUCAAAGUUUCUAGUUACUGCAGAAAGGAAAGGCACCUACGGAACGCACAAGCCUUUCUUCCCCCCGCUUCCACAGAAUUCUAGUUAACUAGUUACCAGAUUACUUUUCAGAACAAAAUGAAUGGAAGCUACCUUCCCUUCAAUAAUCCCAAUAGAGGGAUUAAGCUGUGGUCUCAUUUUUCCACCCAAGAUCCAAACAGCCAAGCUGUAUAGCAAAUGGGGAAGGGAAGGAGAAAACUCAACAGGAUGACGAGCAAAGCUGAAGCUUCAUCUUGAUGAAAAUCAGUCUAAGAAUGCUGCUAAGUAAAGGUAUGUAAGCUUUUAUCCCCCUUUAAAGUCAUAGCUAUUUAAAAGGCAACUAACAUUCAUGAGGAGUUCUGAAAUCUUCCCUCCUAGUGUCUAAAAAAAGAAAAAA
This 1310-nucleotide long non-coding RNA is filed under the name Strigops habroptila (Kakapo). RNAcentral's name for it is "lncRNA (ENSSHBG00005017378.1)". Lineage: Eukaryota; Metazoa; Chordata; Aves; Psittaciformes; Psittacidae. The record is from RNAcentral.